ACCCGAUCCCAUCCCGAACUCGGCAGUUAAGCAUGGUUGCGCCGAUGGUACUGCAACUUAAGUUGUGGGAGAGUAGGUCAUCGCCAAUC
RNAcentral lists this ribosomal RNA (89 nucleotides) under Planktomarina sp. The record is from RNAcentral. Lineage: Bacteria; Pseudomonadati; Pseudomonadota; Alphaproteobacteria; Rhodobacterales; Paracoccaceae.